RNAcentral lists this ribosomal RNA (566 nucleotides) under uncultured bacterium. RNAcentral's name for it is "bacterial SSU rRNA". It matches the Rfam family "Bacterial small subunit ribosomal RNA", at positions 338 to 916 of the family's 1533-position model. The record is from RNAcentral.
CCUACGGGAGGCAGCAGUGGGGAAUAUUGCACAAUGGGCGCAAGCCUGAUGCAGCGACGCUGCGUGAGGGAUGACGGCCUUCGGGUUGUAAACCUCUUUCAGUAGGGAAGAAGCGAAAGUGACGGUACCUGCAGAAGAAGCGCCGGCUAACUACGUGCCAGCAGCCGCGGUAAUACGUAGGGCGCAAGCGUUAUCCGGAAUUAUUGGGCGUAAAGAGCUCGUAGGCGGUUUGUCGCGUCUGCCGUGAAAGUCCGGGGCUCAACUCCGGAUCUGCGGUGGGUACGGGCAGACUAGAGUGAUGUAGGGGAGACUGGAAUUCCUGGUGUAGCGGUGAAAUGCGCAGAUAUCAGGAGGAACACCGAUGGCGAAGGCAGGUCUCUGGGCAUUAACUGACGCUGAGGAGCGAAAGCAUGGGGAGCGAACAGGAUUAGAUACCCUGGUAGUCCAUGCCGUAAACGUUGGGCACUAGGUGUGGGGGACAUUCCACGUUUUCCGCGCCGUAGCUAACGCAUUAAGUGCCCGCCUGGGGAGUACGGCCGCAAGGCUAAAACUCAAAGGAUUGACGG